Molecule: transfer RNA, 67 nt
Filed under: Macrophthalmus darwinensis
Lineage: Eukaryota; Metazoa; Arthropoda; Malacostraca; Decapoda; Macrophthalmidae
Description: tRNA-His
Source: RNAcentral
AUUCAAAUAGUUUAAGAAAAGUAAAAUGUAAGCUUGUGGCGCUUACGAUGUGUUAGCACUUUGAAUA